Molecule: microRNA precursor, 196 nt
Filed under: Oryza punctata
Lineage: Eukaryota; Viridiplantae; Streptophyta; Magnoliopsida; Poales; Poaceae
Description: MIR1435 microRNA precursor family
Rfam family: MIR1435 microRNA precursor family
Source: Rfam by way of RNAcentral
UAGUUUUGUCCUAAGUCAAACUUCUCUAACUUUGACCGAGUUUAUAGAAAACCAACAUCUACAAUAACAAAUAAAUACACUAUCAAGACAUAUUUCAUGGUGGAUUUAAUGAAAUUAAUUUGAUGUUGUAAAUGUUUGUGUAUUUUUUUUAUUAACUCAGUCAAAGUUAGAGAAAUUUCACUUAUGACAAAACUAA